CUGGUCUCUCAGAAGCAGGGAGAGAGCACCAUACAUCUUGCAGCAUGUCCUUACCAGCUCGGAAAGCUUUGCCCUUGCAUUACUGCCAGUAAACUGUUCCUAACAUUUGUUACGCUUUAUAUUAAUGGAUGCUACAUUUUCCCAUUUCAUACCCUACCAAACAGCAUGAUGGGAUGACAGCAUCAAACAGGUAGUAGGCAGAAGUGAUGCAUGAAAACUACCCUUAGCUGGAGAGCCAUACUGUUUUUUCCGCUUUCUUACAGUGGCUGUUGGUUGUUCUUAAUCACCUGCCUCACGCAGGCAGGCACUGGCUGGGGAGCUAAGGGAAGGGCUGAGUCCAAAACACAUGGUAACUAAGCAGCAGGACUUGAGACGCUGUCUGGAAAAACAACAGAGACUCACCUCCUACUAUUUUUCUUCCAGGGAAGCAGCUCCCAUUGCGCCAUUUUCCUGGCAGAAGAAGUUAUGAUCUUCAGGAAAAAGCUUCUUUCAGAGUGGGUUAUGUUUUAAUUUGUUGUUGUUGCUGUUGUUUUCAAGCUGUGUAUGUGUGAGGAAAUGGCAUGGAGUGGAGGGGGGAAGUUGUCUCUGACAUCUGCAGGUUCAUCUUGGAAAGAGUGGAAGGAGGGAGGACUGAAGUACAUGGCCUGCAUCUGUUCCAAGAGGAACCCGAACAGAAGGAGGUUGUACUUGUUUUUCUGUUUGUACUUCUGGAGAUGAUGCCAUUAAUUAUGUGUUUACAACACUUCAGCUCUUCUUCCUAGCUUAGGCUCAAAGCUCAUAGUCCUGACUCAGCUCCAAAAAUCCACUGAGAUGGCAGCAGAGGGACAGUCUGACACAAUGAAGUCUGACAUGGAAGUGCAUAUGAAGCAAAGGUGUGUAAUUGAAUUCCUUCAUGUGGAAAAAAUGGCACCCACUGACAUUCAUUGGCACUUGCUGGAGACUAAACCAUGGAUGUGAGCACAGUGAGGUGGUGGCUGGUACAUUUCAGCAGUGAUGACAGCAACAGUGAGUGACCUCAACUAGUGCAGAUUGUUACGAGCACAGCAUGCGGGCUUUUGUUCAUUUUGUUAAUUGUUUAUUUACAACUAAUGGUGGUGACUGCGUUGAAAAAGAGUGUUUUAUAGCUGAGAAUAUUCUCUGUUCAGUAGUGUUAUUGUGCUCUCUGUAUCUGAGGUAGUUUCCAUGGAAACAAUUAGGAGGCAUUACUUUCAGAGCAACCCUCAUAGAUGCAGCCCUACACAAUUCCUCUUCACUCAAUGCAGCCAGGCAAGCCAAAAGGUUGGACACCCAUUUCUUGGCACGAGCAGGAUAAAGGACAUCCUUUCUUCUGAAACUACUCCUUCUCUUAAAAGCUUGAUGAAAUAUUUCGUUCAAAUUUUAAGGUGACAAAAGCAGAUGAAUAAUUCUCAUUUAAUACUGUUUACUGUGGACUUCUUUUCACAUCCUAUGGUGAUUUCCCUUUUUUUUUUCCAUCAGUUUGAUUACAGCCAGUCAGCCAUAAUUCAAGCAUCCUGGCAUGCACCAGCUAGUGUCACAGCAGUGUCCUUGGGAGGCCAGGCUUUCAAAGGAUGCAGUGAGUGCUUCUGAAAAGAAGCAAAUUUAAUGUCUUAAAGCUACCUUGAGAAUCACAGAACAUUGUUUGUACACUCACACUGUGCCCUAGCAAAUGCUCUUCAUCUUGCAUGAAUGGAGAUAUGCUGUACCCAUAUAUGUAAGCCAGUUAAUUGCUUCUGGAGUUCGCUUUAAAAAAAUUACUUCUAAAUGACAGGAUUCACAUAAACAGAGCAAUCUGAUGCCUGAACCUGUGCUUCAAAAAGACACCUUAAAUUUCGGUGAUAAGGAGCUUGUAUGAAAGCUUGUAAUUGAAAGCUGGAGUGAAUUAGGCAUGUAUGCAGAUAUGUGUAUUAGAAUGUGCUACAGUGAGGGAUGCCCUGCCAACAGAUCCCUGUGCCUUUGUGCAGUUUUGGUAGAGAAUGAUGGAAAGUUGCACAGAAUCAGAGGUUGCCACAGCAGUAUCUUUGAAACCCUCUUUUAAUAUUCAUGAAAGAGUCAUAAAAAACUUUUUUGAAUGAUAGCAUAUUUAAUGACAGUCACUGAGUCAUAUGAAACCAAUCUUCUUUUUCAUAUAACAAACAAACUGAGACAUCUGUCCUAUAAAAUAACAGUAGGCUGUGUCUCAUGAAGACACUGUUUUGGAUUGAUAUGAAUCUAAAUGAACAAAAACUGAUACUCGGGUUUUCAGUUUUGUAAUUGAUUUCCUAUAGUUUAGUCCUCUGAUAUGUGAAUGCAUCCCUAUCUGUACAGUAGUGUUUCGUGUAAUAUUUGAAGCAGAUUUUCAAUACCUCACACAGAAAAUACCGACUCAGCUUCACUGUUAGUGUGAAAAGAACGAACAGUUUCUUUCUCACAGCCUGCUGACAUAACGGUCUUCCCUUGGAGUAUUUCAGUCCUUGCUCAUCUUGGGAUUAAUGGAACCAGUACUUACAGCUGCAGUGCCAGAGGCAGGACCCAUAUAUUUCUUUGACCAGGUGAUUUCUUCCAUUUCCAGGACGUUGUUCUACUUCCCUCUUCCCCUUCACACAUCCUCCAGUGUUAAAUUGGAAACAUUUAUUUUGUUGUAGAUGAAAGCUAGAAUGAAAGAGAGGGACAGGGAGAUAUCAGGAGAAGUGUCCUCGUAUUGCCACGCGCUCACUACAAAUCCUCAUCCCAUCAGCUGUACUCCCAGGUAAUGGUGUCAUGUCAGUAGUGGUGGGAGCAGGCAAGUUUCUGUAAACUAGUUUUUCAGGAAAGGCACAAAUGAGUCCUGAGGUAGAUGUGGUCAAGGCAGAAUGGGGCAGCUGGGGAGGUGAAUGACCAGAGGUGACACCCUGCCAUGCAGUGGGAGGAGAGGGAGACAAGUGGGAAGGUGGUAGUGUCCUGUACCGACUCCUCACUUCUUGAGGUGUGUUACCUAAUAUUCAUUUCUGCUGUCAACAUUUCAUGAGUUUAAUAUGUUUAAUGUACAAAUCUUGAACUAAGAGUCUUGAGCACUGCAUUUCAGCAGGAAUAGUUCAAAGUGUACACUGUCAGUGCAGAUGUUCCCUGGUUUGGCAAUGGCUGCACUAGAUUGUCUCCUGCUGCUCUGCACAAGUAUUUCAGAGCUUGAUCUAGGAGCGUCCUUGGAAGGAAAUGUGGUGCAGUCUCAACUGUGAAAGGGGCACUGCCAGCCUCUGCAUGUUGGUUUGAGGCAGCAAAACUGUUCUGUGUGUCCUUUAAUUGUUAUUGCUCUCACUGAACUAUCCAGCUGUUUUUACUCCUCAGCCUGACUGAAGGCAGGAAUCCCUUCUGCGCAGGGGAGUAUACAGAAAGACAUGAAGAUGGUUUCUUAAAUGUUGAUACAAAAAAAGAGAAAGAUCCAGUUUUGCAUCAAAUAUCUCAUCAUUCCCUGUAUAAAACCACUACAGAGGACUCAAACCCAAAGGUCUCCCAACGUGCUCUGAUCCCACAGGCAGACAAGGACUCACUCACCACUUAACAUGUUGAAUAAGUCUGCAUCUGCAACUUGGGGAGAAGUGGCAGCUCCUGGCUAGGUAUCAGACUGGUUUUCCACUGGAACUUGUAACUGUGCUUACCUGCAGCUGGAGGGAACUCACUGUGAGGGCUGAUUUCUGUAAACAGCAGCAGAAGUUGCUAUCAUACAGAAGCAUGAGAUCCAGGAGAAGCCAGGCCUCAGAGGAGGUUAAGAAUAGUACUCUGGCAUCCAAAUGUAAGGAGCAUGAAAUCACUGCCAUCAGAAAAGAACAACACAAGAAAGGCUUUAUUCUAUCAUCCUGCACUACAAAGGGAGAAAUAAAUCCUGAGACAGCAUCAAACGCACCUUCAGAAAGUGAAGGUAAUACAGUGCUGCACAAAUGUGCUGUGUUGUAACGUUUGGCCAAAAAAAAGGAAAAAAGUGCUUUCUGUUAAGAAUACACCAUUGGCUGGAUAGGCCAAUGUGCUCCAGCUUAUAACUGGAUAUACUGCAGUUCUUUGCAAAGCACUGGUUUAGGACAUGAUGAAAUAGCUUUGCAGCUGAAGCAAGAGGUACAAACACUUGAGAAGAACAAAGCCGGUGAAACUGGGCAAUGUUUCAAGUCAUUUAGCAAAGCAUUUUUAGUCUCCUCUUUCAAGGUGAGUGAUAGAGUCAUAACACAUUGCACCAGUAGAGAAGAUUUGCAUCUAAAGCAUUUCAUUCUGCGAGUAUCAGUGAUUGCAAGUGCUGAACCUAGUGUUGGGAAGAAGCCUGUUACAGUUCUCCAGUCACCCAUCACAGUCAGCUUCUCACUUUCAUCCAACAUUUGUGAGGAACAAGGUUUGAUUUUCCAGCUUUCUAACCCAAAGUCUGAAGACGUUCAUCAGAAUCUGCCUUAUGUGUGGACCCUGGUGAGACCUGAGCAAGUUCAAAAACAAAUGUAACAAACUGAGAUUUUUACCUCCAUAAACAAAGUUAGAGUAUAUGGCAAUGUUUUUAUGAAGUGGAACACUUAACCAACCCAACAGACUAUAUGGGGGAGUGUUACUGCUCUGAAAACUCCUAGAGUUCAGUUUAGCACUUCACUAUUAAUGAAAGGGAAACAUACUUUUAUUUCUGUUGGUGGUAAUGGAAGAAAAUAAUUAUCCCAACAGAAGCAUUUUCAGAGAUUAGUGGUGAGACAAUAAUUUUGAUUAAUCUGAAGAUAAACUUCCCAGUGGUUAUGAAAACCUGACUGUAUAUCUUUAGCAAUAGCAACCAUGGCGCAUUAAGGCUAUUUAGUAUUAUGAAAAUAUGCAGUGAUCUGUAGCCUGUUUACUUGUCAGGGCCUGAGUGAGGGCUGCCAUAAGAUAAUGUGGCCAGAAUCAGGCCAUGAGACUUCUUCAUGCUGUUUAUGCUUAAACCUUCUGUUUUUACAUAGCACGAGAUGGACUUACAACCCUGACGACUCAUCACAUAGAGUUAGCCACAUGUUAAAAAUGUAUGGUGGCCUCAAAGUUAGUCGGUCAUUCUUUAUACUGACUAUAUUGCUAAGAUAGUUUCAAAGGAAAGCAGGAGAUGUCUGAAAUAGCUAAGAUCUGCCCUGCCUGGAUAAAUUAGAAGAAGUGCUGGCUUUUUAUAAACGAGGCAAAGUUUAAGUGAAAAAAUAUUCUGAUAGCUAUAAGCAUUAAUUACCUACAGCAACAGUUACUAAAAGUUAACCUGUGUAAUUUAUCUACAGCACAGUAUCUGAAUUUCAGCUGUUAUAUGUAGUACUAUUUAAAUGAUAGUUCCUGUACACUGGCAAAAAAAAAAUUAAAAACAUAUUCAGAUUGAGUGAAAUCAGCACUGUGUUGCAGGUGAAAAUUGGUGAGAAUAGGUUUAGCAGCUAGUGGCUGUGUAAGAACUGGCACUUAUCAGUAAGAAUGUACAUGCUACCAUGUAUAUAGCACAUUGUAAAAUAUAGUUAUUUUAUUAUAAUAUGCAUAUUAUUCCCGGAAUGCGUCUUGGUCACUGCUUUAAUCCUUGGGGAACUGAGUACCCUAAAGUCCAGGAUAAUUGCUUUUGGAGCAAAAGUUGGAGUUGGCUUUGCUUCACCAACCUCUGUCUGCCUCCAAUAGCUGUAUAAUGUGAUUGCAAAACAAAGCAAAAGAAAAGCAAUGUGACAAUUAAGCUUAAAUAAAAUACUUAAUUAAAAUACUUGUGGCUUAUCCUGGAAACAGUCUAUGUUCUGAUCAUUAAAAUGAGCGUUGUUGUCUUCCCACCCACAAGACAUGCCAUGUCCUAUACAUACCUCUUUUAGAGAACACACUAAAAUGUAAGUAUCUGUUACUUACUCUUCCAAACUGUGGGCUUUGAUAUAGGCCAGCGUGUAAUUGUUAAGAACUGAUAGAGCUCAUGCAGGUGCUGAGAAUGCAUUUCCUUACCUCUGGCACAACUAUUCUGGAGUCCACCAUAUCGCUGUUCCCAAAAGCUCAGCAGUCUGUUGACUUAAUUAUCUAAUUGAAGGCAACAUUUAUGCCACAAAUAGUGGUAGGGUCUCCUAACAAGAAAAGUGUUCCUUCUCACAGUAUCUGAGCAUGUUUCCUUUCCAGCAUUUGCAGACCCUAUUGGCCCAUUAGGUUGGAAGUAAAACGAUGCCCCUCAUCUUGCAGUACUCCAGUGCUGUUGCCAGAUUUCUGUGUCAGUGCUGUGGAAGUUGGCUUUGUGUUCCUGAAUAACUGUGCUUAGCAUAGUCAGCAAAAACUUUAUACUGAGCAAUAUUUAAUGGCAAAAUUUAAACAGCAAGAAAUAUUGGAUCGAAGACAAAAAUGUUCCUUUGAUUUCUAUCAGCUAAUGUUUUACAUAAUUAGCUUUCCUCAAAAUUGACUGGCUUUUUUGCUCUUUCUUUUUUUUUCUUUAAUGGCUUUAUUUGUCUAGUGCUACUAGAUGAUCUGCAUGGUUUUUUGGUAACUGCUUAAAGAGCAAAAAAAGGCAUGCAUGGACUCAUAUACACAUGUAAAACAGUACAUAUAGAAAGUCUAAUUGAAAAGAACGUCAGCCAAAGGCUGUCAGGACUAACAAGCUGUCUGCUAGAUUUGGGGCCAUUCAGCCAGCCUCAAACUCUGCCUCUGUGCUUCUUUCUUAUGAUCAGGGACUGAAAUAGAUACGAAGAAAAUCUUAAAGGAAAUUUUAAACUGUUUUAAUAUUGUUGUUUCUCUGAAAGGUGAAAUGAAUAAUAGGAAAAAAAGAAUAACACAGUGAGUGCAUGUAAUCCAGGAUGGUGAAAGUGACCUACUGAUGGACAGAUCUGCAGCAGAGAUACUGGCCCUUGCUGUCAGUGGAUCUCUGCUAUGUGUGGGUGUGGAGGAUUGGUGCAGUCAGUUCUAUUGCCAGCUUAACCACAGGUGACCUGCGUGAUCUUGAGUAACUUAUUUGACUCCUUUGUAUAUGAGAGCAAUGUGUGAUAUUUUAUAGCUGAGAAACUACCGUAUGUUUUCUGCUUAGGUCAAACUUCAUUCUUAAUCAAGAGAAGCCUUGCCUGAGGAUUCCACUUAGCAAGAACUAAUCGAAGUUAUAUUUUUUUUCCUCCCUCAUGUAAACAGAAAAGAGCAAGCAUUUAACCUGAAAGAAGUUGGGUUUGACAAACCAAUUAUUCUACAGCAUUAUGGUGAUUACAGAGGAGAAACUUUCCCCAGGACAUGGAAGGUUCAGGCUGGCAGGACUGUCACAUCAAAGCUGCCAUAUGACAAACCUCAGAUUCCAGUGGUCAAGAGAGCAAACACAGCACAGAGAAAACUGCACUACAGACUGAAUGAUGGCUCAUCCUUCAUUUAAUAUCCUUUCUUAAGCUCACUUAAAUUCCUGUAAGUGUGUGAAAGGCAGGGGGAGGACUUCUACCGAAGGACAAUCACACAGCGUGUAGCUGAACCGCUUCCAAAAUCCAGCUACAUAUAAAAGAACAAGACUUUAUUCUUUGGGCUUCUUAUCAGACUCUAUUUAUAUGGUACCACAUCUAUAGUCGGUCUACAACAGCAAAGCCCAGUGUGCGUCAGGUGGGUUGAAAGGCAUAAAAAAAAAAAAAAAACCCAAAAAAAACUGCAGAAUGAACAAUGCAGUUUUAAAUUAACAGUAUCAGACUGCAAACUAUUUAAAGUAUGACCUUGUCGUGAACAAAGACCACUUUAUCAAUCACAAACAUAAUCACAAACAUCAAGAUGUAUUAGGAACUGUGCAAGUCUGCUCUGUUACAAGUCCACAGAAGACACCAUGCCUCAUAAACCUACUUCUGAGUCAUACAUUGCUCCUGCAAAGGACACUUUUGACCUGUACCAGCAUGAGUUUCCUGCUAUCUUUUAUUAGUUCAGUAACGUGAAUUUUGUGCUGAGAGCUUUGCCUGCUCAUCCUCUAUCACUCCCAAUCCACUUAUUCAAGGAAGAAGAUGACUGGGUUGGUAGCUUCGCUUUCUCUUAUGCACAUGGACUGAAUACCCUGUCUUAGAGCUGAUGAUGUUAGUCCCUGUGUUCUCUGCAUGGUUAAGUAACAGAAGCUACAGAGUUGGAGAGAGAAUGAUAACUUAACUCCUUGACUCUCAUUUUAGCUAUCCAUCUGAAUAUCUUGCGGUUUGCCAGAGCUGCUGCAAUCUCCCAUGUAGGGGGAUGUAUACCAACAUAUUUAGCCCUUCUCCAGAUCAUUCUAUAGGUGGAACUUUCACCUCUUUUGGACAUGGCAGCAUCUAUCUUCCUAACAGGUAGGCAGAUGCACUACAAGCUGUUGUUUGAUUCUGCGAAUUAGAGCCGAGAGCACAAAGCUAUACAAGGAUCUGAGCAACGUUCAAAACCAGAAUAGACAUGAGAAAAGUGGUAUGUUGUUUCUACAACAAAUACAAGUUUCUAUAACUCAGCUGGGUGUCUGACAGUGGGUUGGGUUUAUUUUGGUUGUUUUUCACCUACCCUUUUUCACUAAAAAAUGAAAGCUGAGCUUAGUUUUAGGUAACCAAACUCUUGCACAGACAGACUCGUAGUCCAUAGGGAGUCUGACAUUAGAGAAGAUCAGCAUCCAGAAGUGUGGAAAGAUAAAAGAAGACCCCUUCCGACUUGUUCAUGCCUCCUGGAGGUGAAGAAGAAACCUGUCCUCUCUGAUUCCCCUCUAAGAGUCAAAUGCCAUCAGGUGUUCAAGCAGCCCAAAAGCACUCUGUUAACUAAACUGCUGAGCUAGACAGAAGUCACUCGGAAAAGAGAAUUCCUAAUUUGUGACACCAGUGCUGUGAGGACAGGAUGCACUUUGGCUUACUGGAAAAUUCCCACAUACAGAGGAGACGGUGGGCAAAUGAGAGCCAGCCUUCUGGCUGCCUUGAACACAUAGCAUGAGGUGUGUGUGGAUGGCUGUUGCACACAGUCAGAAGUCAUCCUCUUCCUCCAUCACUUCAUCAGCAGUUCUCUUCUGGAUAUUGUUGCUAUCUGUUUAUAUCUCUCCAUGUAGUUCUCUGCACCUGUACAUGAUGUGGGCAAAGGUUAUCACUGAUUCUUAGUUACCUGAUCUUCGCCUAAUUCUCCUCUUCUUUGCUCCUUUAGUGACUUCAGAGUACUCAAGAAAUCUGGGAUCAAAAUUUAAUGCUCUGCAGAGAGGAAUAGUAGCUAAAAAUGAGGGACUUGCUGAUUUGCAGCUGCCUUCAUUUGUAAGGAAGUGAAGAUCAUUGGCUGAUGGCUGAACUUUUGGGAUAGGAGGAAUGUUUUACUGGAGCUGUGUGAGCAAGGAUUUUUCAGGUCUUGUAUAAAAGCACUGAAGAGAGUUCAGUGCCCUCACAGCUAGUGGAAGGAGGUGGCCCUUGUUGACAAAAAGUGUCCAGGUGUCCAAAAAUAUAUAUUUUAAACAGUUCUCAUUAAAGAAUUUAAAUAACACCUACCCAUUUUACCUAUACUAGCCAACUUUAUAUUACAGAAAAGCAAACAAAAAUAAUAGGGAAUAUAAAGUGCAAAGCUAAAAUCUCAGGAUUCCUCCUGAGACUUGUCAGCUGAAGCCUAAUGCAUUAAUGCCAUCCAUGUGCCAUUUUAGUUGAUUUGUUUCUUCCUUUAAAUUUACAGUCAAAUUUGAAAUGUUUUAGAACUUCCAGGACUGUAGCGGUAAGUGAAAAGGGCAGUGAAAUCACACUGUUUGACCCCAGCUUCUUUCUGCUUUGAAUUAUUAAUACAAGAAUUAAACCCCAACUUUUGUCUGUAGCAAAAGGACAGUGGUUUAUACCUUCCUUACAAGCCUGUAGCAUGAGAAAAGCUGGGUGAAGGAGUGGCUAUGUAAAGCGGCUUUUUAAUUAGAGACUCCUAGAUCAAAGCAAGAUUCUUGGAUUGUUUAAGGUUUUCCUGAGAUACACCAGGAAAAACAGGUUUCACAUUUCUGCCUAUUUACAGCAACACUGUAACCAUGAUGUUUAAUCAGGAAGGAGGUCUGGUGACUAAUGAAGAUGAAGAAAUGGUCAGAGAAUGGAAAUGGCCUCGGGAUGGCAAGCUGGCCCAGCCAGUUAUAGCACGGGUAAUAGUUAAAGCUUUACCUUUUUUUACUGUUCUUACCUCUUGCUUUCUCCCCCUCAUCCCUUAGUCUCUCUGAGGUGUGUGAAUCGUAAGGAACACAGAGCUUACAUUUCUUCUUCUCUAACAGGCUUUAAAAUGAAUAGUUUUCCAAACAACCUCUACGUGAAUUACCUCUUUUUUUAACUCCUGUUGCUCCUUCAGGCUAAGAAAGAAAAGCAGAUUGCCUACAACUGUUGUAACUCGGGAUUUCAACAAACAAGAAGCCUAUCCUCCCUGCUAGAUGCAUUUUGGAAGAGUCUUUUCUUUCUAGUCAAUAUGAACAAGCUAUUUCUCACAUUUCUCUUGGGCAUGUUCAGUAGCAGGCACUUAUUUGCCUGACUUCAGUCCUGAUCCAGCUCCCACUGAGGUGGGAGCCUCCCACUGCUUUGUAGUUACCAGAUCUCAGCUUAAAAUGCUGCAAAAUUACCAGAAAGGCAGGUAAAACAUUUGCAAUCCAAGUCAGUAAGCAUGCCUUCGGGCACAGAGUUGGUAAAGACACAUUAUUUGGGUCAAGUCGGGAGACUUUUUCUUCCUUUCUACUUAAUACAGGGCUACUGGUGGCAUCCUUGGUAUUUUGUACAAGGCACAUCUAAGACUGACGGAAUGACAUGUAGCUGAACACAUAACAGGUUUCUGUCACUUGGCUCAUACUGCCCAGGCUGCUGCUGAUAGGAAGGAGUGACUUCAAAUAAGCAAAUGGCAAUGAAAAUCUUACAGCUGCUAUGACUGAUAUAGAUAGACACUCACUCUUCUUUGGGUUUGAUAUGUUCUAUAUACUGACCUCUGUUUACUCUCUAAGGUCUGCAAGAGUUUGAGAUGCCUGCAAUAUGCUUUAUCUGCAGUUUUGACUUCGAUAGACUCUGUAAAGAUUAUGUCAGAUAACUAUUGAAACAGUUUGAAAUAUCAAGUACAGAUUAUGGAAUGUUGCUGUGAAUUAUGUGCUGUAGCAAAUGGAUGUAUUUCAAGAGUCACAUGAAAACGAAUGCAAGUUCAGUAAAGCCAUUAGUAUCUGCAACACACUUCUUACUUUGAAUAAGAAGGAGUGUCAGAGACUGGAAACAGGUGAUGCAAACUGGAUUAAAUAGAAGAUAGGAAAAGUGGUUCUAAGUGCCCUGCUUGGUGUCACCGGGUCAUUUUUCAUGGGCUGUGUGUGCAGGCAAUGCUAAAAGCUACAGUGACUAUUACUUCAAUAAAUUACAUCGUAUGCAUCAAAAUGCUAAUCUUUUUCUUGUGACUGAGCAGCCCAAACACUGCCUACUCUCACUAACAACAGCAGUUACAGGGCAAGCACAGACUGGCUUCUCCUGAGUCUAUCCUUGUCUGUGACUCCACUGCUUCUCUGCCUUAGAAGAGUAGACACAUUUUCCUGAGUGGUUCUGAAAGUUUCUCGUGCCUUUCUGCUACACAGCAUCACCUUCCAACUCAUGCACAGUCUCAGAAUGUUUGCUCUGGGCAUGUGUCAUCCAGAUAAAGGGCUGGGAGUUAUCAUCUCUACCCACAGCUCACGUACCAGAAGGUAACUUUGCAAGAUUCACAUGGAGAGUGACAGCACUGAGACUUGUUUGUAGAGUAACUCAUGACCAACUGUCUUGGAUAACUAACCUGCUGAGACUUCACUCUGCCUCUUCCAUCCAUCAUAAAUGUGAAAACACGGUGGAAUUAGUAAGUCUCCUUUGUUGGUCUUUCAGGUUAAUGAAUUCAUCACAGUGAGGAUUGCAGGACGCUUUGCAAUUAGCUUGGUCUACAAGUGGCAACAUGAAAGUAUGUGCUUGUCUUUGUCACGGCCGCGGGGUGCGGCUCUUCCGCGGUUAGAAGAAUCGGUAUGUUGCAACUGCUGCAGUACUGCACUUUAUCAACUUUGUUCUGCAGAUUCUGGAACUGAUGAGCUUUUCUAUAAAAUAUGCUUCCCGAUGUUAGCACUAAGAGCAGUGCUACAGAGUGAUCAAAUUAGGCCUUCCGGAGAGUGAAUAAAAAGCAGAUUUAUGCUGAUGACUACCUACUACAGAUCUGGCCCAAAGGGACACAGCUUUCCACGCGCUUAGAUUCCUAUUUAUGCUUCCUCCCCCCCCCCAGACUUAGCCCAGUACGAGGUGGUUAUACCUUUUUGUGCUGCAGAUGGUGUACUGAAUGAUGCCCUAAGAAAUCCUGAUCCAAAUCUUCCUUUCCUUCAUUUCUGUGCAGUGAGCUGGCUGUCUAUCUAGGUUUAUCAUCUAGCCAAAGCCUGAUAUCUUCAUGUCUUUCAGUUCAAUGUUGGGUUGAAAUACAUGUUGUUAGAACAGAUUUUUGUGUGUGUGUGAUUUUGGGGUCAGGAAAAAAUAGUUAUGAAACAAUUGUUGGAAAAGCAGAAGAAAUCUGUCAUCCAAGUAAAACAAAAAUAAAACAGAUCACGCUGGUUCAGAGUUAAUUUCCUUCUCCCUGUAAGUAUUUAGUCUAGAAAUUGUAGAAACAGACACUGUGGAUUUGUAAUAGGCAUGUAUAUACAUAUCAUUGAGUUUAAAAGAAAUUUAGAUUAACUCCUAAACUUCUGAGAAGUUAAAUUUGUCAGAGUUUUUAAAUGGCUUUUCAUAAAAGAAGUAUUUCAC
RNAcentral lists this long non-coding RNA (12593 nucleotides) under Gallus gallus (chicken). Its description in RNAcentral is "lncRNA (ENSGALG00010014174.1)". Lineage: Eukaryota; Metazoa; Chordata; Aves; Galliformes; Phasianidae. The record is from RNAcentral.